GGAGAGGUGCCAGAGUGGCUGAAUGGGGCGGUCUCGAAAACCGUUGUGGCCUUCCGGGUCACCGUGGGUUCAAAUCCCACCCUCUCCGCCA
This 91-nucleotide transfer RNA is filed under the name Chloroflexi bacterium HGW-Chloroflexi-5. RNAcentral describes it as "tRNA-Ser". It matches the Rfam family "tRNA". Rfam says of the family: Transfer RNA (tRNA) molecules are approximately 80 nucleotides in length. Their secondary structure includes four short double-helical elements and three loops (D, anti-codon, and T loops). The record is from RNAcentral. RNAcentral also lists the same sequence under 2 other names. Lineage: Bacteria; Bacillati; Chloroflexota.